Molecule: ribosomal RNA, 253 nt
Filed under: uncultured bacterium
Lineage: Bacteria
Description: partial 16S ribosomal RNA
Rfam family: Bacterial small subunit ribosomal RNA
Source: RNAcentral
UACGUAGGGUGCAAGCGUUAAUCGGAAUUACUGGGCGUAAAGCGUGCGCAGGCGGUUAAGUAAGUUAGGUGUGAAAUCCCCGGGCUCAACCUGGGAACUGCAUUUAAAACUGCUUAGCUAGAGUGUGUCAGAGGGGGGUAGAAUUCCACGUGUAGCAGUGAAAUGCGUAGAGAUGUGGAGGAAUACCAAUGGCGAAGGCAACCCCCUGGGAUAACACUGACGCUCAUGUACGAAAGCGUGGGGAGCAAACAGG